GAGCCAGACUCCUACGGGAGGCAGCAGUGGGGGAUAUUGCACAACGGGGGAAACCCUGAUGCAGCGACGCCGCGUGAGUGAAGAAGUCUUUCGGUAUGUAAAGCUCUAUCAGCAGGGAAGAAGAAAGACGGUACCUGAGUAAGAAGCCCCGGCUAACUACGUGCCAGCAGCCGCGGUAAUACGUAGGGGGCAAGCGUUAUCCGGAUUUACUGGGUGUAAAGGGAGCGUAGACGGUGAGACAAGUCUGAAGUGAAAGCCCGGGGCUCAACCCCGGGACUGCUUUGGAAACUGCCUGACUGGAGCGCUGGAGAGGCAAGCGGAAUUCCUAGUGUAGCGGUGAAAUGCGUAGAUAUUAGGAGGAACACCGGUGGCGAAGGCGGCUUACUGGACUGUAACUGACGUUGAGGCUCGAAGGCGUGGGGAGCAAACAGGAUUAGAUACCCGGGUA
RNAcentral lists this ribosomal RNA (448 nucleotides) under uncultured bacterium. RNAcentral's name for it is "bacterial SSU rRNA". It matches the Rfam family "Bacterial small subunit ribosomal RNA", at positions 328 to 792 of the family's 1533-position model. The record is from RNAcentral.